UAUUAAUAACUACAGCUGACAGUUGUUUAAUGUGUUUUUAAAAUCUCUACAAUAUAAACGGUUUUAAAUGAAAAAGAGCGAAUUACUGUUUUAGAGAUGAGGGGCUACGACGAUAGAAAAAGAUCUUAUAGUAGGUAGCCAACGUUUUUAACUAUACGUUCGCAAACCAUUCUCCUAUAAGGCGACGAUACAAAAAAUUGGAAACCGCUUUGAGGAAACUGGACUUGUAAAAGAUGGCAUUCGAACAGAAGAAAAUUUAGCAAACUAUAAUUAUGAAACGCUACUUAGAAAUGAAAUUGUACCUGCCCUGAAAAACAAUUUGGGAGCCAAUUUUAAUGAGAUAGAUCAUUCAGCCAGAUGGAGUUCCAGCUCAUUUUGAUGUAAAUAUUCGGCGUUAUUUAGAUCUUAGAUCAGACAUUUCCCAUACGAUGGGUUGGUAGAUAGAUAGUAUUGAAUGGCCUCCUCGUUCGCCUGAUUUGAAUCCUAAAAAUUAUUUUUACGAGAAGUAGAAUUUAUAAAAAUAAACCAGCACGUCAAGGUUUGCAGAACCAAGGCAAAGAAUUAUCGAUGAAUCUAUAUUAAUUUUUACAGAAACAUGUCUAGGAUGCUAACGGAUUAAUAACGAAGGACAUUUUGAACACAAUUAGGCAUUUCCAAAGAUAACUGUUUUAUAAUUAUUAUUGUUAAGAGGAUCGGUACGUAUUUUCGGCUGCAAUGCUAUUCAAAUGGGGAUUUAUUUUUUUCGAAUCCUGAGAAAACUAAUAAGUAUUUUUAAAAAAUGUAAACGCAGAAUGAAAGAUCACGUUAUUAGCGAGGGCCGAAAGUCCCUGAGAACUUCUAUAAUAAUUAUUUUAAUAAGUUACAGGGGUGAAAAACUAAGAGAAAAUUUAGUGUGAUUUUUAAUUUCAAAUAUAUCAUUCAAAAUAAACUUUUUACUUAUUCUAAGGGACUUUCGGCCCUCGGUAAUAAUUUAGUCUUUCAUUCUGCGUUUAAAUUUUUCAAAAAUAUUUAUUGGUUUUUUUUCAGGAUUCGAAAAAAAUAAACACAAUGCCGUGGUAAUAUUUUCCAAAUCUAUCUUUGUCUUACAACGCACUCAGCCGAAUAUAAUAUUGUCAGCAUAUAUUGUCAGUCAGACACUGACAAUCAGUGACAAUUUUAAAUAUUUGACAUUGUAUCGGGAAUAUGUUGAGUUAUUGAUUAAAUAUUAUUGAUAUAUAGUGUAUUUGAUAAAUAAUUGAUUUAAGACGUGAACUUAAUAAAAAGUUAUUUAUUGUG
Long non-coding RNA from Diabrotica virgifera virgifera (western corn rootworm), 1275 nucleotides. RefSeq lists it as uncharacterized. Lineage: Eukaryota; Metazoa; Arthropoda; Insecta; Coleoptera; Chrysomelidae. The record is from RefSeq and is a predicted model, not a curated record. The transcript has 2 exons.